RNAcentral lists this ribosomal RNA (847 nucleotides) under Cephalotrichum verrucisporum. RNAcentral describes it as "eukaryotic LSU rRNA". It matches the Rfam family "Eukaryotic large subunit ribosomal RNA", at positions 68 to 942 of the family's 3401-position model. Lineage: Eukaryota; Fungi; Ascomycota; Sordariomycetes; Microascales; Microascaceae. The record is from RNAcentral.
ACAGGGAUUGCCUCAGUAACGGCGAGUGAAGCGGCAACAGCUCAAAUUUGAAAUCUGGUCCCCUCUGGGGGCCCGAGUUGUAAUUUGAAGAGGAUGCUUUUGGCGAGGCGCCUUCCGAGUGCCCUGGAACGGGACGCCACAGAGGGUGAGAGCCCCGUAUGGUAGGACGCCGAGCCUCUGUAAAGCUCCUUCGACGAGUCGAGUAGUUUGGGAAUGCUGCUCAAAAUGGGAGGUAAACCCCUUCUAAAGCUAAAUAUUGGCCAGAGACCGAUAGCGCACAAGUAGAGUGAUCGAAAGAUGAAAAGCACUUUGAAAAGAGAGUUAAACAGCACGUGAAAUUGUUGAAAGGGAAGCGCUUGCGACCAGACUUGCGCCCGUCGGAUCAACCGUCCCUCGUGGGCGGCGCACUCCGGCGGGCUCAGGCCAGCAUCAGUUUUCCCGGGGGGAGAAAGGCGGUGGGAACGUAGCUCUUCGGAGUGUUAUAGCCCGCCGCGUAAUGCCCUCGGGGGGACUGAGGACCGCGCGUAUGCAAGGAUGCUGGCGUAAUGGUCGUCAGCGACCCGUCUUGAAACACGGACCAAGGAGUCGUCCUAAUAUGCGAGUGUACGGGUGUAAAACCCCUGCGCGUAAUGAAAGUGAACGGAGGUGAGAGCUUCGGCGCAUCAUCGACCGAUCCUGAUGUUCUCGGAUGGAUUUGAGUAAGAGCAUAUUGGGCCGGACCCGAAAGAAGGUGAACUAUGCCUGUAUAGGGUGAAGCCAGAGGAAACUCUGGUGGAGGCUCGCAGCGGUUCUGACGUGCAAAUCGAUCGUCAAAUAUGGGCAUGGGGGCGAAAGACUAAUCGAACCU